This 459-nucleotide ribosomal RNA is filed under the name uncultured Paenibacillus sp. Its description in RNAcentral is "bacterial SSU rRNA". It matches the Rfam family "Bacterial small subunit ribosomal RNA", at positions 922 to 1382 of the family's 1533-position model. The record is from RNAcentral. Lineage: Bacteria; Bacillati; Bacillota; Bacilli; Caryophanales; Paenibacillaceae.
CGCACAAGCGGUGGAGCAUGUGGUUUAAUUCGAAGCAACGCGAAGAACCUUACCAGGUCUUGACAUCCUUUUGAAUGGUCUAGAGAUAGAUCAGGCCUUCGGGACAGAAGAGACAGGUGGUGCAUGGUUGUCGUCAGCUCGUGUCGUGAGAUGUUGGGUUAAGUCCCGCAACGAGCGCAACCCUCGACCUUAGUUGCCAGCAUUCAGUUGGGCACUCUAAGGUGACUGCCGGCUAAAAGUCGGAGGAAGGUGGGGAUGACGUCAAGUCCUCAUGGCCCUUAUAGGUGGGGCUACACACGUCAUACAAUGGCUGGUACAAAGGGUUGCCAACCCGCGAGGGGGAGCCAAUCCCAUAAAGCCAGUCGUAGUCCGGAUCGCAGUCUGCAACUCGACUGCGUGAAGUCGGAAUCGCUAGUAAUCGUGGAUCAGCAUGUCACGGUGAAUACGUUCCCGGGUCUU